Molecule: microRNA, 22 nt
Filed under: Oryza sativa (Asian cultivated rice)
Lineage: Eukaryota; Viridiplantae; Streptophyta; Magnoliopsida; Poales; Poaceae
Description: osa-miR6256
Source: miRBase by way of RNAcentral
GUAGUACUCGGUUGUAGGUGUA